Long non-coding RNA from Pygocentrus nattereri (red-bellied piranha), 154 nucleotides. RefSeq lists it as uncharacterized. The record is from RefSeq and is a predicted model, not a curated record. Lineage: Eukaryota; Metazoa; Chordata; Actinopteri; Characiformes; Serrasalmidae. The transcript has 3 exons.
CCCUGAAAGCACUUGUGAACACCUGAGGAUCAUCUCCAGCAAAAGAGAUCAUCACUGGGACUUCGAAGGUUUUGCUAAAUAAAGCUGACGUUUUUGAGGCCAUCCAAGAAACCAACACACAGCAGCCUGGAUUUCCACCCGACAUCCUACAUGA